UAGGAUUUAGUGUAUUGUGGUAGCACGAAGAUUUUUGAGUUCUUAGGAUUAGGUUCGAUUCCUAUGGUCCUAG
RNAcentral lists this transfer RNA (73 nucleotides) under Anoura cultrata (Handley's tailless bat). Its description in RNAcentral is "tRNA-Gln". It matches the Rfam family "tRNA". Rfam says of the family: Transfer RNA (tRNA) molecules are approximately 80 nucleotides in length. Their secondary structure includes four short double-helical elements and three loops (D, anti-codon, and T loops). Lineage: Eukaryota; Metazoa; Chordata; Mammalia; Chiroptera; Phyllostomidae. The record is from RNAcentral.